Aricia agestis (brown argus) is the source of this 90-nucleotide long non-coding RNA. RefSeq lists it as uncharacterized. The record is from RefSeq and is a predicted model, not a curated record. NCBI's taxonomy places the organism in Eukaryota, Metazoa, Arthropoda, Insecta, Lepidoptera, Lycaenidae. The transcript is spliced from 3 exons.
AAGAGCCUGCGACGGAUAGACUUUCCUCAUUUUAUAGAAGCUGAAAGUUUACCUGUUUGUGACCUUCAUAGAGGUUUAAAAACGAUCACU